GACGAACGCUGGCGGCGUGCUUAACACAUGCAGGUCGAACGGAAAGGCCCUGCUUUUGUGGGGUGCUCGGGUGGCGAACGGGUGAGUAACACGUGAGUAACCUGCCCUUGACUUUGGGAUAACUUCAGGAAACUGGGGCUAAUACCGGAUAGGAGCUCCUGCUGCAUGGUGGGGGUUGGAAAGUUUCGGCGGUUGGGGAUGGACUCGCGGCUUAUCAGCUUGUUGGUGGGGUAGUGGCUUACCAAGGCUUUGACGGGUAGCCGGCCUGAGAGGGUGACCGGCCACAUUGGGACUGAGAUACGGCCCAGACUCCUACGGGAGGCAGCAGUGGGGAAUAUUGCACAAUGGGCGGAAGCCUGAUGCAGCAACGCCGCGUGCGGGAUGACGGCCUUCGGGUUGUAAACCGCUUUCGCCUGUGACGAAGCGUGAGUGACGGUAAUGGGUAAAGAAGCACCGGCUAACUACGUG
Molecule: ribosomal RNA, 468 nt
Filed under: uncultured bacterium
Lineage: Bacteria
Description: partial 16S ribosomal RNA
Rfam family: Bacterial small subunit ribosomal RNA
Source: RNAcentral